GCCUGCAUGAUUCCUCAUGGCCUAGGAUGCAGGCUUCAAACCUGUAGCUGUCUAGCAACCAAGUGGUUCAAUUCCAUGUUCCAGGUG
Non-coding RNA from Rhincodon typus (whale shark), 87 nucleotides. The record is from the annotation of a RefSeq genome assembly. NCBI's taxonomy places the organism in Eukaryota, Metazoa, Chordata, Chondrichthyes, Orectolobiformes, Rhincodontidae.